CUGAUCUCUAUUCCCGGAUCUGCCUCUGGCUUCCUGCGUGACCUUGGGCUGGUCACCUACCUUUUCUUUUCUUUGGUUCCCAAAUUGUAACAUGGAAAUAAUUCUCUUCCUGCGGUGCCUCAGCCCCUGCUGCCUUUAGGGUGGUCGAGAUCCUCUGACGGGAGGAAGGUAGCACGUUUCCACUGGAGAAAUACUUACCCAGAGCACGGUAAUUUGGGGGCGUGUUGGUGUUCACUCGGGUACAGCAGGGUGCGUGCUGCUGCUUGUGCUUUUUUUUUUUUUUAGUAGGCAAACCUGUGGUGGAAGUCAAAUUCCGUUUGUGGUGGAUGCAGAGCAACGUCAGCUGCAGCGUGCCCUUUCCUCACUAGGAGAUGGUUACCUAGCCAAGGUCACUGCUGCUGCAUGCCUGUAUCACGCAGCGAGCCAGCCUCCUCUUCCUUCCACGGGCGCUGAUCUCAGCGAGGCUUCCCCAGAGCCAGCUGCUCCCGGAAUAGUUUGGGAAUGAAAUGUCACCGUUUGAAACUGCUGGAUCCUAGCGCCUUCUCCGACAGGACUAGGUCGUAUCUGUCUGACAACGCACCUACAGUGACUCUCUUAAUUAAGUCUCCCUGCACUGCUGUGAGGGCAGCAUUCUGUGUUCCUGCUCCAGCCUACGAGAGCCAGCCAUUUCCACGCGGCAGCUCUGCCUCGUAGGCACUAAGAAAUGGGCACCUUGAGCUGAAGUGCCAUGGUUGUUGUAGUACUACUGGUGUACUACCGAGCGGUCCCGGGCGUGCUGACUGUAGCUGUCGCUGCCCCAGCCUGCUGCCAGAGGUUUGUG
Molecule: long non-coding RNA, 820 nt
Filed under: Anser brachyrhynchus (Pink-footed goose)
Lineage: Eukaryota; Metazoa; Chordata; Aves; Anseriformes; Anatidae
Description: lncRNA (ENSABRG00000001216.1)
Source: RNAcentral